RNAcentral lists this unclassified non-coding RNA (239 nucleotides) under fungal sp. RNAcentral's name for it is "partial internal transcribed spacer region". The stretch from base 1 to 46 matches the Rfam family "Eukaryotic small subunit ribosomal RNA", at positions 1786 to 1831 of the family's 1831-position model. The record is from RNAcentral. Lineage: Eukaryota; Fungi.
AAGUCGUAACAAGGUCUCCGUUGGUGAACCAGCGGAGGGAUCAUUACAGAGUGUAAAAACUCCUUAAACCCACUGUUUAUCUAUCUUAUAAGUUUCCUUUGGUGGGCAAUCCCAGGGGGGAUUGAUGCUAAUUGUUAGCGCCCACCAAAGAAGACAACCACUAAAACUCUUGUUUUCAAUUGAAACUCUGAGAUUAAAACAAAUAAUUAAAACUUUCAACAACGGAUCUCUUGGUUCUG